CGCGGAGCCCCCUCUUCCCGUGCACAGUGCGGGGCGAGGCUUGGCGAGCGGUGGGUCUGCGCCUUCCCAAGAAGAGACUGGGGCAGCAUGAAUGUGCUGGAAGAUUAGAGGCUGCUGAUGCUGAAGGAAGGAGAAACGAGGAGGAAGUGUCCCUGUGGACAAGUCAUCUCCCUUCAUUUAAGCCAGGCCAGUAGUCCGGGAGACAUUCUGAAUGAUGCAUUAUCCUAGGCACCAGAAAGUAUCUAACAUUCUCAUGGACAGCAGGGAAAAAUGAGCACAUGAGACAGGGGAAGAUUCCAGCACCUGUGAACAUGUUUGUGCAGGUUUCCAGUCAGUACAUGGAUAUCCCUCAAGCCUUUGAAUCCAGUCUCCUGUGUUGUGAUUGGACCGUUUGUCAUUAGGUUUCCAGUGGCAGAGUAAUGCUGUGGGAGAACUGGCUACGAUGGCCGCAGGAGGUGAAUUAAGUAUUGUUGUGUUUUUAGUAGAACCACUAAAGGAAGAUCUGCAGGCAAGUUGGAUGAGUAUAAGAGCCAAAGAUUGACAAGACUUCCUCAGAUGCUCCUACUGACCAGUGGGGGCACUUCUACAGCUCCCCGAAUAUGUUCUCCCUGCAACCCCCACCACUUUUUAAUUAAAUGGCCAGAACUGCCUUUUUGUAUCAAAACUUAUUUUAGUCUAUCAAUCAAAGGCUUCUAUAGCCCACCUCAUGGCAAAGGAUAUCAGAGAGGUAAAAGAUAAUUGUUUUGACAUAUUUAUUAUCACAACUAGCGACUCUUUCUGCAUUCACAUUGGCUGGUAUGCAGAAAAGGGUGCUUUACAGGAUUCUUGGAAAUGUGUAGUGGAUGCUGGCUCUAGGGGAGGCAGAAUAGAGUGUGGGUUCUGCCAUGGGUCACAUCCGGGUUUUAAUUCUGCCUCUGCCACAUGACCUUGAGCACACUGGAAAACCCUAUUAGAUGUGCAAGAAGGCUUCCCCAUCUGUAAAGGUGGGUGACUUAGCAACUUUAGCAAUGCUUAAGUCACCCGGUUGUUGUGAGUAAUACAUAAGUUAAUGUAUGCUAACUUUCUAGAAAGUUUCCUGGCACAAAGUUGUAUUUAAUAAAUGAUUUUUAAA
Molecule: long non-coding RNA, 1111 nt
Filed under: Homo sapiens (human)
Lineage: Eukaryota; Metazoa; Chordata; Mammalia; Primates; Hominidae
Description: HSALNT0399929
Source: RNAcentral